GACGAACGCUGGCGGCGUGCCUAACACAUGCAAGUUGAGCGACGAACCAGGGCUUGCCUUGGGGAAAAGCGGCGAACGGGUGAUUAACCCUUGGUUACCCUCCCCCGUUAACCGGGACACCCCGAGAAAACUCGGGUUAUUCCCGGUUUUCCUCCCUGACUUUCGGUUCUGUGGUUAAGGAAAGUUUCGCCCUCCGUUCCGGAGGGGCCCCGCGGCCCAUUAGUUUGUUGGUGGGGUAACGGCCCACCAAGCCCGCGUUGGGUAGCUGGUCUGAGAGGACGAUCAGCCACACUGGGACUGAGACACGGCCCAGACUCCUACGGGAGGCAGCAGUGGGGAAUCUUGCGCAAUGCGCGAAAGCGUGACGCAGCAACGCCGCGUGGGGGAAGAAGGCCUUCGGGUUGUAAACACCGUUCAGGAGGGACGAAGGUUCGGCGGUGAAUAGCCGUCCGGACUGACGGUACCUCCACAAGAAGCCCCGGCUAACUACGUG
RNAcentral lists this ribosomal RNA (493 nucleotides) under uncultured bacterium. RNAcentral describes it as "partial 16S ribosomal RNA". It matches the Rfam family "Bacterial small subunit ribosomal RNA", at positions 28 to 507 of the family's 1533-position model. The record is from RNAcentral.